GACACCGUGACCGAGCGGCGAGGUGCGCGCCUGCAAAGCGCGCUACGGCGGUUCGAUUCCGCCCGGUGUCU
RNAcentral lists this transfer RNA (71 nucleotides) under Actinomycetes bacterium. RNAcentral describes it as "Actinobacteria bacterium tRNA-Cys". It matches the Rfam family "tRNA". Rfam says of the family: Transfer RNA (tRNA) molecules are approximately 80 nucleotides in length. Their secondary structure includes four short double-helical elements and three loops (D, anti-codon, and T loops). The record is from RNAcentral. Lineage: Bacteria; Bacillati; Actinomycetota; Actinomycetes. RNAcentral also lists the same sequence under 1 other name.